Molecule: ribosomal RNA, 490 nt
Filed under: uncultured bacterium
Lineage: Bacteria
Description: partial 16S ribosomal RNA
Rfam family: Bacterial small subunit ribosomal RNA
Source: RNAcentral
AUUGAACGCUGGCGGCAGGCCUAACACAUGCAAGUCGAACGGUAACACGAAGAAGCUUGCUUCUUUGCUGACGCGUGGCGCGCGGGUGUGACAUGUCUAUGAAACUGCCUGAUGGCGGGGGAUAACUCCUGGAAACGGUAGCUAAUACCGCAUAACGUCGCAAGCCCAAAGAGGGGGACCUUCGGGCCUCUUGCCAUCGGAUGUGCCCAGAUGGGAUUAGCUAGUAGGUGGGGUAAAGGCUCACCUAGGCGCCAGGCCCUAGCUGGUCUGAGAGGAUGACCAGCCACACUGGAACUGAGACACGGUCCAGACUCCUACGGGAGGCAGCAGUGGGGAAUAUUGCGCAAUGGGCGCAAGCCUGAUGCAGCCAUGCCGCGUGUAUGAAGAAGGCCUUCGGGUUGUAAAGUACUUUUAGUGGGGAGGAAGGGAGUAAAGUUAAUACCUUUACGUAUUGACGUUACCCGCAGAAGAAGCACCGGCUAACUCCGUG